This is a long non-coding RNA of Piliocolobus tephrosceles (Ugandan red Colobus), 217 nucleotides long. RefSeq lists it as uncharacterized. The transcript is spliced from 3 exons. Lineage: Eukaryota; Metazoa; Chordata; Mammalia; Primates; Cercopithecidae. The record is from RefSeq and is a predicted model, not a curated record.
GGCAUCAACACUGAAAUUGCUUUGUGUGCAGACAAACUGUACUCCUAAGGCCAGAGAGUCCCAGGCAGUUGUGGGAAGCCCCAUCAGUGUACUGAGCAUACUUGUAUACACUUAUGCUGAUGAGACCAUGAAUUUCUUCCUCUUUUGUAUUUCCAAGAGGGAUGACCACACAGGGAGGAGGAAUCUAAAAACUUAAGAUGCAAAAUAUUAAAAGGGG